UUAACAACUUUUAAAACCGCCAUUUUCCUGAAGUUAAUGUUAACUAUAGUCCCAGUAAAGCAGUAAACGAUUCCCUUUUCUUCACAGGUGUGAUGUGUGAGUUCCUCUGUGAAACCAUUUCAUCAUUUGUGAAGGUAGAGAAGUGGCGAGUCAUGACGUAUUACACUGGAAUUGGGCUGCUUAUCACCAUGUCUGUUGUCAGCUUCUAUUUGUUCCGCGGUCUUUCUUAUGGGAUGUCAGGCCCCAUGGCUCACCAUGUCAACUCCACAGCUCCAGUCUACAAAUGGUUGGAUUCAUGGGAAGUGUAAUUCAGUUCAUCAUGUAGACAACACCCUAACUUCAUGCUAAAUAGCUACACACCUGCAGAAAUUGGAUCGUCAUCCUCUCUAACGAUUAUUGUUGUCACGGACAGAAGAAUGAAGAGAAAGAACAAGUUCAGCGAAUACAAGUUUUACACAAACUUCAGUAGUAAGGCAUGUAGAUUUAUAAGUCUCGAUUUUGACCAUCCAGCCUCGUAGUGGGAAGGGUCAAAACGAGUCUGGAGGGGCCAAGAUAAUGGCUGUAUUCUUGGGACACCUAUGACAUUAUAAGGGUACGAAUGUGAAGAUAGCACCGCGCAUGUUCGAAAUUUGGGCGGAAAAAUGGCGGACGAGAACCGAGUCAAUACACUGAAUGUAAAUAUGGCGACCACUUUGAAUAACUAUUGUUCUGGACAGACUAGCCUAUCUUACAUGUGAAAACGCUUUUAUGUUUCCACGUGAACAAGAGGCAAGUUUUAGUUGACAACCGAAUUUCCUUCGGGAAGGAAGAUUUCGCCAAUCGAUCGUUACUUGUUGUCAGUGAUUUUCCGAACUUGCGCAGUGCAUUCUUUACCGAAACGUCCUUCUCAAAUACUGUUUUAUAGAAAAGAAAUUUCCAAAUAUUUUAAAUAUCUACCAUUUUCAUGGCAAACACAGGUACAUCAAGUUAUUUAAUACUGUCAGUGCAUAAACUAGAAAGUCUUGAAUCAUAAAUUAACUAAGAUUGUUAUAUAUUCAUCUUCAAAACUCUAUCUUACAUAGAAAAAAAAUUAAUUUAUAAUAUAAUAUAAUUAUCAUAAUUUUGAAUAUAGAUACAAAUUUAAUUUAGCUUAAUCAUAUAAUUGCUUUUAAGUCGGGCGCUGCACACAUAGACAUUGGCUGAUAUUAGACUCGGGUACCCUGUGGUAGCAUGCACACUCAUUUUAACUUGGAACCAAGCAUGUGGCCGUGACCAACCGAGCUAUAUAGGAAAUACCCUAUUUCGAGAGGCACUCAUGUAAUAACACAGCUACUCGGUAACCAGGGUAACUGGCUUCCGUCAAUCAAAUAAUUUACUAAGAGUUUGAUGGAUGGCAGCGCAAAACACAAAAG
Long non-coding RNA from Actinia tenebrosa (Australian red waratah sea anemone), 1391 nucleotides. The record is from RefSeq and is a predicted model, not a curated record. Lineage: Eukaryota; Metazoa; Cnidaria; Anthozoa; Actiniaria; Actiniidae.